This 200-nucleotide ribosomal RNA is filed under the name uncultured bacterium. RNAcentral describes it as "partial 16S ribosomal RNA". It matches the Rfam family "Bacterial small subunit ribosomal RNA", at positions 8 to 206 of the family's 1533-position model. The record is from RNAcentral.
AGAGUUUGAUCCUGGCUCAGGACGAACGCUGGCGGCGUGCCUAACACAUGCAAGUGGAGCGACGAACCAGGCUUCGGCCUGGAGCAAAGCCGCGAACGGGUGAGUAACGCGUGGGUAACCUGCCUCGAUGACUGGGACAACCCGAGGAAACUCGGGCUAAUACCGGAUGUUUUCCUAGACCUUCUGGUCUAUGAACAAAG